GUGAAAGUGAAACUAGACAGAGCAAGCUCCUGGCCCUGCCCCCAGCCUAGCCUGGUAAAGAUGAGUUCCGGCAGCCCUCAGGCACUGGCAAAGUGGGACAGAGAUCCUGGACAUUUACACCCUUUGGGGAAGCAGGGCUCAUCCUGGAAGAGAGGCCAUGCCCCCAAAAGCUGUCUGCCAAGCCAGUCACCAGUCCUUGGCUUAUAAGUCAGAGAAGUCCAGCUUCACCUCAGUCCUGGCAAGGGUUGGAGAGCGAGUGCCUGAGCUUCUUCCAGGAAACCUUACCUGCUUGGCGCCUUGAGGCAUCUUCUUGGGAACAUCCUGAACGGGAGAACUGCAAGAUCAAGACAUGAAGGCAAGAGGCAGGUGAGCAAGAUGCAAGGAGCAAGUAAGCCAGGCUCAGCACAUGCCCCUUAGGGAGCCACCAUGACAUGGUUGCUGGCAUGGCUGUUUGCUGGGCUAGGUACCUCAGUAAUCCCCACUGCAGGAACAUGUCUAUGAACAGCUGGAGAGCCACGGCCACCAGAGUGGUGGAAGCAGGGGAAGUUGGACCAAAUUAUAAUCUUGUGGUUUCCAUUCAGGGCCAAGCCAAUUCCACUGGAAUGCUCACCAUUGGAGUGGUGGGCUCUCAGUUACCUCACCAUGUACUGGGCUCUAUCUGUGGCUGGAGAGCCCAACUGACUCACCAUCCAUGGCUGAAGGAAAGCCAGCCAUGCCCUGAUAAUGAACUUAGGCCUGGCCUCAUCUGCCUAGAGUGGGGCCAUCACCUCCACAAGACCCUCAGCAAGUUAGAUAGCCCAUAAAGUGCUCUCUGAACACAGGGUUAAGCCAUCUCCCUAGAUAAUCUGUGCAGGCAGGGUCUGGGGCAGAACAGAUCAUGGCCCCAGGCCCUAGCCUCCCACUCCCAGCUCCAGAGCUGGACAAGGAUGUUUCCAUCCAACUCCUGGGUACUCUAAAUGACUACCCUUUCCUCAUAUUUUCCCAGAUGAGUGGGAGAAUGGUUACCUUAGGCUGACCCUGUGGAUUCACAAAGCCAAAAGGACAGGAACAGGAUCAGGGCCUGCCGACACUGAGCCCCUCCACUCCUGCCCCCCAUAACCUGUGGUGAUGCCACAUGAUGACCAUGGGAGGAAUCUCCAGUUCUGCAAAUCUGGUUCUGGGGAGGCUGAUCCAAGUUAGGGGUGUCCUGUGCUCCCUCGCAUCACUUGCAGACAGGGAAGAUGGUAGAAAUGUCUCUAAAAGGUCUGGCAGCCUGCAGUUCCUAGGCAUCCACUUUCAACUUUUCUAGCUAAAGAGGUAACAUGAGGAAGCCAUGGUGUCAGGCAGGCACUGACAGGCCCCCUGACCGCAGCCCACAUUUGUAGGUUUGUUUCUCACUGCUACCAAGCCUGGCCCUACACAGCACCGCUGACUGCCCCUGAGGUUGGGGAGGGGUGGAUAGCCCAGCUGGCUUUCCCUUUUGUCCUCUCCCUGGGCCUCCUCCACCUCCACUGCCUAACACUUCAAUUUCUUUCUCUUCUGUUCUAAGUCUUUGACUAAGAAGAGACUUCUCAGCCUGACUCGCUUACCUGAGCAGUGUAUACCCACCCAUGGAUGUUUGGGAAUAGUUCCUGCCUCCAUGAUGAACUACACUUGGGCUGUCUGACCAAGGAGAGAGCCUCCUAUUCCCAGUCCCACGGCACCCCUAGUGCAGGUCCCCCCAUCCCACUGCAGCUCCUCACUGCUUCUCAUGCCUACCCCUGUGGACUACUCAUUAAUAGUAUGGCCCUGGGCUCCUUGGUCUGAGAUGGUCCUGCCUCAAGCAUAGCCUGAAGGGCACAAAAUGAAAGAGGAAGUUCAGAGGCCCUAGCUCGGGACUCCAGUGUCAGCCAUACAAUGUACUGGGAGCAUCUCCUCCCCAACAUCAGCCCUACUGGGAUCCCUGUGUUCUCUCCAAUUGACAUCCCAACAUUUGCCUAAAGGAUAAUCAUGAAGACUAAUGAGAUAAGCAAGAGAAGGGCUUUGUACAGAGUGAGUACUCAGGAAAGGGAAGAGGUGGUUGGAACCAAAGCCAUGGCCAAGCCCAAGGGACCCCUGCUGUCCUCUCAACCACACAGAACUAUUAGGGCAGGACCUGCAGAGAUCUCUUAUCCAUCUUCCUUCUGGGCUAUGGAAGAGCAAGGUACUACCACUUACU
Non-coding RNA from Sus scrofa (pig), 2176 nucleotides. The record is from RefSeq and is a predicted model, not a curated record. NCBI's taxonomy places the organism in Eukaryota, Metazoa, Chordata, Mammalia, Artiodactyla, Suidae.